GAUGAACGCUGGCGGCGUGCCUAACACAUGCAAGUCGAGCGGCAGCGCGAGUAGUUUACUACUUGGCGGCGAGCGGCGGACGGCUGAGUAACGCGUGGGAAUUUGCCCCAAAGUGAGGAAUAACUGCCCGAAAGGGUAGCUAAUACCGCAUAUGGUCUUCGGAUUAAAGGAUUUAUCCGCUUUGGGAGAAGCCCGCGUACGAUUAGAUUGUUGGUGAGGUAAUGGCUCACCAAGUCGACGAUCGUUAGCUGGUCUGAGAGGAUGAUCAGCCAGACUGGAACUGAGACACGGUCCAGACUCCUACGGGAGGCAGCAGUGAGGAAUCUUCCACAAUGGGGGCAACCCUGAUGGAGCAACGCCGCGUGCAGGAUGAAGGCCUUCGGGUUGUAAACUGCUUUUAUUUGUGAAGAAUAUGACGGUAACAAAUGAAUAAGGGUCGGCUAACUACGUGCCAGCAGCCGCGGUCAUACGUAGGACCCAAGCGUUAUCCGGAGUGACUGGGCGUAAAGAGUUGCGUAGGUGGUUAAUAAAGUGAAUAGUGAAACCUGGUGGCUCAACCAUACAGACUAUUAUUCAAACUUAUUAACUCGAGAGUAGCAGAGGUAACUGGAAUUUCUUGUGUAGGAGUGAAAUCCGUAGAUAUAAGAAGGAACACCAAUGGCGUAGGCAGGUUACUGGGGCUAUUUCUGACACUGAGGCACGAAAGCGUGGGGGAGCGAACCGGAUUAGAUACCCGGGUAGUCCACGCCGUAAACGAUGGAUGCUAGCUGUUGGAGGUAUCGACCCCUUCAGUAGCGAAGCUAACGCGUUAAGCAUCCCGCCUGUGGAGUACGGCCGCAAGGCUAAAACAUAAAGGAAUUGACGGGGACCCGCACAAGCGGUGGAUCGUGUUCUUUAAUUCGAUGAUAAACGAAGAACCUUACCAGGGCUUGACAUCCAGGGAAGUUCUGCGAAAGCAGAGUGUGCCUUUUGGAACCCUGUGACAGGUGUUGCAUGGCCGUCGUCAGCUCGUGUCGUGAGAUGUUUGGUUAAGUCCAUCAACGAGCGCAACCCUUGUACUUAGUUGUAUUUUUCUAGGUAGACUGCCCCGGUAACGGGGAGGAAGGAGGGGAUGAUGUCAGGUCAGUAUUACCCUUACGUCCUGGGCUAGAAACACGAUACAAUGGCCAGUACAAUGCGCAGCGAAGCCGCGAGGUGGAGCAAAUCGCAUCAAAGCUGGUCCCAGUUCGGAUAAGAGGCUGAAACUCGCCUCUUUGAAGUCGGAAUCGCUAGUAAUCGCAAAUCAGCAAGUUGCGGUGAAUACGUUCCCGGGUCUUGUACACACCGCC
This 1328-nucleotide ribosomal RNA is filed under the name uncultured bacterium. Its description in RNAcentral is "bacterial SSU rRNA". It matches the Rfam family "Bacterial small subunit ribosomal RNA", at positions 28 to 1394 of the family's 1533-position model. The record is from RNAcentral.